This is a non-coding RNA of Mycena haematopus, 96 nucleotides long. NCBI's taxonomy places the organism in Eukaryota, Fungi, Basidiomycota, Agaricomycetes, Agaricales, Mycenaceae. The record is from the annotation of a GenBank genome assembly.
GGGCUCUUAGCGCAGUUGGUAGCGCGUUCGCUUCGCAUGUCGUAAAAGUUGCGCGGUCUCUGCGAAAGGUCGUUGGUUCGAUUCCUACAGAGUCCA